This 45-nucleotide non-coding RNA is filed under the name Schistosoma mansoni. Lineage: Eukaryota; Metazoa; Platyhelminthes; Trematoda; Strigeidida; Schistosomatidae. The record is from RNAcentral.
AUCCAGCUGACGAGCCCCGAAUAGGACGAAACGCGCUUUCUGUAU